AGUGAACGCUGGCGGUAGGCCUAACACAUGCAAGUCGAACGGCAGCACAGUAAGAGCUUGCUCUUACGGGUGGCGAGUGGCGGACGGGUGAGGAAUACAUCGGAAUCUACUUUUUCGUGGGGGAUAACGUAGGGAAACUUACGCUAAUACCGCAUACGACCUACGGGUGAAGGCAGGGGAUCUUCGGACCUUGCGCGAUUGAAUGAGCCGAUGUCGGAUUAGCUAGUUGGCGGGGUAAAGGCCCACCAAGGCGACGAUCCGUAGCUGGUCUGAGAGGAUGAUCAGCCACACUGGAACUGAGACACGGUCCAGACUCCUACGGGAGGCAGCAGUGGGGAAUAUUGGACAAUGGGCGCAAGCCUGAUCCAGCCAUACCGCGUGGGUGAAGAAGGCCUUCGGGUUGUAAAGCCCUUUUGUUGGGAAAGAAAAGCAGCAGGCUAAUACCCCGCUGUUCUGACGGUACCCAAAGAAUAAGCACCGGCUAACUUCGUG
RNAcentral lists this ribosomal RNA (492 nucleotides) under uncultured bacterium. RNAcentral's name for it is "partial 16S ribosomal RNA". It matches the Rfam family "Bacterial small subunit ribosomal RNA", at positions 29 to 507 of the family's 1533-position model. The record is from RNAcentral.